RNAcentral lists this long non-coding RNA (335 nucleotides) under Otus sunia (Oriental scops-owl). RNAcentral's name for it is "lncRNA (ENSOSUG00000006266.1)". Lineage: Eukaryota; Metazoa; Chordata; Aves; Strigiformes; Strigidae. The record is from RNAcentral.
AUAACUGCUGAUUUAUGCUACGUUGCGGUUUUGUUUUCUUCAGCCAAGCAGCUGCACCUGUGCUAAACAUCUGCAGGUGGCAGGCAGCCACAGCCUUUAUUGGGUGAAUGUUUGGUCUUUACCUGGGGCACAGUUUGAACUGGAUGUUUGACUCAAGCUGUGGUUUUUCCCUCAGCCCCCUGGGUGCAGCACAAGGCUGAGGAGCCGCUGCUGCAGAGCACCCACCACUCCUGCUGGCCCUGGCUCUGCUGCUGGUCAGACCACCCUUGCUCUCUGCAGGGGCUCACAGAGCUCCCUGAACCCUGCCUGUCACCAGACGUGUCAGACGGAUGCAG